Hyla sarda is the source of this 2580-nucleotide non-coding RNA. The record is from the annotation of a RefSeq genome assembly. Lineage: Eukaryota; Metazoa; Chordata; Amphibia; Anura; Hylidae.
CUUGGGCGUGUCCUGGAGCCAUGAUAUGAACGGAGCUGGAGACAUUCUGGGGGUGAGCUCUGACAAGAUGAUAUAAAUACUGAUUACACACCAGAAGAUGGCGGAUUACCUGAGGAUUGGGAUUAUAACCCUCAUCAUCCUCCAUUCAGGAUCUGGAAUUCCGGAAUUCCAAGAACUUUCCUGUUCCCCUAAAGUGAAAGCAAAAGUAAGAACAGAUGAGUGUUCUGGAGCCAUGAUAUGAACGGAGCUGGAGACAUUCUGGGGGUGAGCUCUGACAAGAUGAUAUAAAUACAGAUUACACCAGAAGAUGGCAGAUUACCUGAGGAUUGGGAUUAUAACCCUCAUCCUCCUCCAUCCAGGAUCUGGUGAAUUAGAAAUCCAGACGAUGGAUUCCCCUAUAGAGGCAUUGCUGGGUCAUAAUAUGACCAUUCCUUGUCACUUUUAUGGCUACAAGACACCUCUGAAUCUCUCUAUGGUUUCUGUGCGCUGGAGUCUAAAUAUUUUGAAAGAAGAACACCUUGUCUAUUUGUCCAGUGGUGAAAAACGUAUCCAAAAUAGAUCUGGGUCAGAUAUACCGCACAGUGCGCUUAUGGGAGGAGAUGGCAGCCUGUAUAUACCCAACAUUCAGCUUAAUGAUGAAGGAGAAUACACUUGUUCUGUUAUCGUCACUCCUGAUAACGCGAUAAGUAAAGUCAAUAUAAAGGUCUCAGCCAUCCCAACAUGUACAUUGAGUAACUCCAGACUAGAGAUGUAUCCAGACACUGAGGGAUCGGUUACAUGUUAUGUGAAUGGCUUCUAUCCAGAACAUGUGACAAUACAUUGGGUGAAGUACAGUAAAUCUUCCUCCAACAAAUCUAAACUGGACAACCAGACCUGCACCAGUAUACCAGUACAGAACCCUGAUGGAACGUAUAAUGUGAGAAAUCUACUGUCUGUGAGACCUAUGAGCAGAGAUGAGGAAGAAGAUAUAUAUUCCUGUGUAAUCCUCCACAGGUCACUAGAAAAUGAUGGUCUGACCUGUAAUGUUACUUUAUCUGUAAAAGAUAACAAUGCUGCUGGAAUAAUUGGGAUUGUAUGUGGGAUAUUUGUCUUUCUGCUCUUAGUGAUAUCAUUUGGCUUUUACAGAAUUUAUCAUAGAAAAGCGCCACCUGAGGUUUUGGACAUCGUUGGACCUGAAUUGACCCAUGGGAAGAAGACAAAGCUAGUAUAUCCAGUAAUAAAUUUCAGUCCAAAAAAUAUUAGUUUCUUCUUAUAUUUAAAUGAAGUCAAUGAAGAGAAUCUAGUAGACUCUUGGCCCAAUGAAAAGGAAAAAGUUCACCAUAAAGCUCGGAAAGAUCCGAUCCAGAAAGAGCUGAUGUUGCGGGUGAAAGCUGCACCUGUUCUGGAUCCAAUAGAGGCCAACCAGGAAUCCUACAAUGUCGGGGACCACUUGGAGCUGACGUGCAAAAUUCACUCAUUUCAUCCACGAUACAUAAAUGUGAUCUGGUACAAAGGAGAAGAAACUUUACCCUCAACAAAUAGAGAAGCUCAAGAAGAUGGAGAUGGUUUGUUCUAUGUCACCAGCUCUGUGAGGAUCACUGUAAUAGAGGAAGACUUUGGGAAAAUAUACAAGUGUAAAGUUGAGCACUUGGGUACACCAGAUAAUGAUGAAGGCGUCACAUGGACAUUACAAAGGCAAAGUGAUUAAAGUAAAUUGAUAGAAGGAAUCAGUUCUUACCAAGGAGAUCCACAGGAUCACUUCUUACUUCUGAUACAAAACACGACAUGAAAACCGCCAUAGAUCCAACAUUUCCUAUUGCUGAUCAGUCUGCUCCAAUAUCUCUAAAGCCCCGUUCACACAUUACAGAAUUAUUGGAGACAGAGGUUAUGUGCACAACUAUGAACUGAAGUUACAGUCUACCUCAACUUAUAUUUAACUUUUGCCUAAACUUCUCCUUAAGCAAUCUUAUGGAUAAUUGUCAUAUACAGUGACCCCUCGACCUACCAUGGCCCCAACAUACGAUAAUUUCAACAUGCGAUGGCCUCUCAUGGUGCGAUGGCCGGCAGGAGACGUCACUCGUCAUAUUAUCCACACAGCCCACAAGACCCGUCGCAUUACCUGAGCCUGCUGAGUACGGCCAGGUAAGGAAAUAUGAAAAAUAGAAAAAGCAGGAGAAGUUUCCGGGCCUGCCGCUGGUCACUGUUUUAAAGUGGCCGCGGCCGGGCUGCUGAUCCGCUACUGAGAAGCCGGCAGGGGGCCCCCUGGGGGAUGGGGGCCCUAGGCAAUUGCCUGGUUUGCCCCACUCUGGUUUGCCCUGUAGGUAGGUCCCCCUGUAGAUAGUAGCCAUCUGCAUAUAGUUGCAACUAGGGGUGUGAAUCGCCAAGAAUUUGGCGAUUCGAUUCGAAUCGCGAUACCAGUGUGGCGAUUCGAUAUAUCCCGAUAUAUCGCGAUACCGUCUAGGUGACGAUACAUCGCGAUAUAUCCCGAUACAUCGCCCACCUGGGAGCAUUCAUAGAUCCCAAUAGACGCCGCUGUCAGCUUUGACAGCGGCGAUCUAGUAGUCCGGUGCUCACUUUUCUCAUGUUAUCCCGUCCGGGCUG